RNAcentral lists this ribosomal RNA (498 nucleotides) under uncultured bacterium. Its description in RNAcentral is "partial 16S ribosomal RNA". It matches the Rfam family "Bacterial small subunit ribosomal RNA", at positions 28 to 508 of the family's 1533-position model. The record is from RNAcentral.
GAUGGACGCUGGCGGCGUGCCUAAUACAUGCAAGUCGAGCGAACGGACGAGAAGCUUGCUUCUCUGAUGUUAGCGGCGGACGGGUGAGUAACACGUGGAUAACCUACCUAUAAGACUGGGAUAACUUCGGGAAACCGGAGCUAAUACCGGAUAAUAUUUUGAACCGCAUGGUUCAAAAGUGAAAGACGGUCUUGCUGUCACUUAUAGAUGGAUCCGCGCUGCAUUAGCUAGUUGGUAAGGUAACGGCUUACCAAGGCAACGAUGCAUAGCCGACCUGAGAGGGUGAUAGGCCACACUGGAACUGAGACACGGUCCAGACUCCUACGGGAGGCAGCAGUAGGGAAUCUUCCGCAAUGGGCGAAAGCCUGACGGAGCAACGCCGCGUGAGUGAUGAAGGUCUUCGGAUCGUAAAACUCUGUUAUUAGGGAAGAACAUAUGUGUAAGUAACUGUGCACAUCUUGAAGGUACCUAAUCAGAAAGCCACGGCUAACUACGUGC